Molecule: small RNA, 675 nt
Filed under: Pongo abelii (Sumatran orangutan)
Lineage: Eukaryota; Metazoa; Chordata; Mammalia; Primates; Hominidae
Description: processed transcript
Source: RNAcentral
GCCUGCCCAGCAGGGACGACAGGACUGACCGAGGCCUGGACGAAGAGGGCGAGGAGGAGAGCUCAGCCGGCUCCUUGCCCCUGGUCAGCGUCUCCCUGUUCACCCCUCUCACUGCAGCCGAAAUGGCCCCCUACAUGAAGCGGCUUUCCCGGGGCCAAACGGUGGAGGAUCUGCUGGAGGUUCUGAGUGACAUAGACGAGAUGUCCCGGCGGAGACCUGAGAUCCUGAGCUUCUUCUCGACCAACCUGCAGCGGCUGAUGAGCUCGGCCGAGGAGUGUUGCCGCAACCUCGCCUUCAGCCUGGCCCUGCGCUCCAUCCAGAACAGCCCCAGCAUUGCAGCCGAUUUCCUGCCCACGUUCAUGUACUGCCUGGGCAGCCAGGACUUUGAGGUGGUGCAGACGGCCCUCCGGAACCUGCCCGAGUACACUCUCCUGUGCCAAGGGCCCCGUCUCCCCCACAGAGCAUGCGGCUGUGCUGCUGCACCGGGCCUUCCUGGUGGGCAUGUACGGCCAGAUGGACCCCAGCGCGCAAAUCUCCGAGGCCCUGAGGAUCCUGCAUAUGGAGGCCGGGAUGUGAGCCUGUGGCAGCCGACCCCCCUCCAAGCCCCGACCCGUCCCGUCCCCGGGGAUCCUCGAGGCAAAGCCCAGGAAGCGUGGGCGUUGCUGGUCUGUCCGA